Molecule: ribosomal RNA, 1172 nt
Filed under: uncultured eukaryote
Lineage: Eukaryota
Description: bacterial SSU rRNA
Rfam family: Eukaryotic small subunit ribosomal RNA
Source: RNAcentral
UUCCCACAGAUAUGGGCGUAUUCCCCUUNGCCAGCAGCCGCGGUAAUUCCAGCUCCAUAAUCGUUAUUAAAGUUGUUGCAGUUAAAAAGCUCGUAGUUUGAUUUAGGGUUUAUUUUUAAAAUGGAACUUAUCCUUUCUGGUAUUUCUAUGAUUGGAUUUGUUCCUUAUAAACCCUUUAUGAUAAAUAAAUAAACCUUUGGUUCUUCCACGGAAAGGGGAGGUUUUAUUUUUUAUCCUUUUAAUUUGAAAAAAAUUAGAGGGUCCAAAGCAGGGCAUUAUUUAUUUUGUCUUGAAUACUUUAGCAUGGGAUAAUAAAAUAUGACUCGUUUUCUAUUUUAUGGGUGUUUUUAGAAUAUCAAAGUAGGUUUUUUUUCUAGUAGCAAUAUUAGAGAAAAGAUCUAUUUGGAGUAAUGAUUAAUAGAAAUAGUUGGGGGUGUUUAUAUUUCAUUGUCAGAGGUGAAAUUCUUGGAUUUAUGAAAGAUAAACUUAUGCGAAAGCAUUCAUCAAGAAUAUUUUCAUUAACAAAGAACGACAGAUUAAGGAUCGAAGACGAUCAGAUACCGUCGUAGUUUAAUCUAUAAAUUAUGCCGACCAGGGGUUAGAGAAUGUGUUAAACUGAAUCAAGUUCGCAAGGGCUUGGUUCAAUUACUUCUUUAGAACCCUUUGUGAGAAAUCAUUGAGUGUUUGGGUUCUGGGGGUAGUAUGGUCGCAAGACUGAAACUUAAAGGAAUUGACGGAAGGGCACCACCAGGAGUGGAGCCUGCGGCUUAAUUUGACUCAACACGGAGAAACUCACCAGGUCCGGACAUUGUUAGGAUUGACAGAUUGAAAGCUCUUUCUUGAAUCCAUGGGGUGCGGGUGCAAUGUCGUUCCUAUUUGGGGGAAAUGAUCUUGUUUGGGUAAAUUCCCAAAACCGAACGAAACCCAAACCCUAUUUAAAAUUAACCCGGAAAUAAGUAUUCCAAAAGGGAAUUGAAAUGUCAGGAUUUCUUUUUCUAUUUUGCUGGAGUUUUUUCUUCAGUAAAGUAGGGGAAGUCUUGUGUGGAUCUCUUUAUUUAUUCCAGUUUUUAAGUUACUUCUUAGAGGGACUAUUAACGUUAAAUUUGUUUUUAGUUAUUGGAAGUUUGUGGCAAUAACAGGUCUGUGUGCCCAGGGGAAUUCGUAAUUCCCCU